Molecule: ribosomal RNA, 506 nt
Filed under: uncultured bacterium
Lineage: Bacteria
Description: partial 16S ribosomal RNA
Rfam family: Bacterial small subunit ribosomal RNA
Source: RNAcentral
AUUGAACGCUGGCGGCAGGCCUAACACAUGCAAGUCGAACGGCAGCACAGAAGAGCUUGCUCUUUGGGUGGCGAGUGGCGGACGGGUGAGUAAUGACUGGGAAACUGCCCGAUGGAGGGGGAUAACUACUGGAAACGGUAGCUAAUACCGCAUAACGUCGCGAGACCAAAGUGGGGGACCUUCGGGCCUCACACCAUCGGAUGUGCCCAGAUGGGAUUAGCUAGUAGGUGGGGUAAUGGCUCACCUAGGCGACGAUCCCUAGCUGGUCUGAGAGGAUGACCAGCCACACUGGAACUGAGACACGGUCCAGACUCCUACGGGAGGCAGCAGUGGGGAAUAUUGCACAAUGGGCGCAAGCCUGAUGCAGCCAUGCCGCGUGUAUGAAGAAGGCCUUCGGGUUGUAAAGUACUUUCAGCGGGGAGGAAGGCGGUGAGGUUAAUAACCUCGCCGAUUGACGUUACCCGCAGAAGAAGCACCGGCUAACUCCGUGCCAGCAGCCGCCGUAA